AUACGUAGGGUCCAAGCGUUAAUCGGAAUUACUGGGCGUAAAGCGUCCGCAGGUUGGCUUGAUAAGAUAGACGUGAAAUCCCUGGGCUCAACCUAGGAAUUGCGUAUAUGACUGUCUCGCUAGAGUAUGGGAGAGGGGGGUGGAAUUCCGCGUGUAGCAGUGAAAUGCGUAGAGAUGCGGAGGAACACCGAUGGCGAAGGCAACCCCCUGGCCUAAUACUGACACUCAUGGACGAAAGCGUGGGGAGC
RNAcentral lists this ribosomal RNA (248 nucleotides) under uncultured bacterium. Its description in RNAcentral is "partial 16S ribosomal RNA". It matches the Rfam family "Bacterial small subunit ribosomal RNA", at positions 523 to 769 of the family's 1533-position model. The record is from RNAcentral.